AGAGCGAACGCUGGCGGCAGGCCUAACACAUGCAAGUCGAACGGAUCCUUCGGGAUUAGUGGCGGACGGGUGAGUAACACGUGGGAACGUGCCUUUUGGUUCGGAACAACUCAGGGAAACUUGAGCUAAUACCGGAUGUGCCCUUCGGGGGAAAGAUUUAUCGCCAUUAGAGCGGCCCGCGUCUGAUUAGCUUGUUGGUGAGGUAAAGGCUCACCAAGGCUACGAUCAGUAGCUGGUCUGAGAGGAUGAUCAGCCACAUUGGGACUGAGACACGGCCCAAACUCCUACGGGAGGCAGCAGUGGGGAAUCUUGCGCAAUGGGCGAAAGCCUGACGCAGCGACGCCGCGUGGGGGAAGAAGGCUUUCGGGUUGUAAACCCCUUUCAGGAAGGACGAAGCCACUCGGGUGAAUAGCCAGAGGGUGACGGUACUUCCAGAAGAAGCCCCGGCUAACUACGCGCCAGCAGCCGC
RNAcentral lists this ribosomal RNA (469 nucleotides) under uncultured bacterium. Its description in RNAcentral is "SSU rRNA". It matches the Rfam family "Bacterial small subunit ribosomal RNA", at positions 26 to 518 of the family's 1533-position model. The record is from RNAcentral.